Molecule: non-coding RNA, 74 nt
Organism: Podarcis lilfordi (Lilford's wall lizard)
Lineage: Eukaryota; Metazoa; Chordata; Lepidosauria; Squamata; Lacertidae
Source: the annotation of a GenBank genome assembly
GCCUGGAUAGCUCAGUGGGUUAGAGCAUAGUGCUCAUAAUGCCAAGGCUGCAAGUUCGAUCCCCGUGUUGGACA